GGCCCUGGGGUGUCACACGCAGGACUGCAACCCCUGAGAAGCAGAAUAAGAUUCUGCCGGGGCUU
RNAcentral lists this transfer RNA (65 nucleotides) under Hyloxalus subpunctatus (Bogota rocket frog). RNAcentral's name for it is "tRNA-Cys". Lineage: Eukaryota; Metazoa; Chordata; Amphibia; Anura; Dendrobatidae. The record is from RNAcentral.